Molecule: non-coding RNA, 76 nt
Filed under: Fragilariopsis kerguelensis
Lineage: Eukaryota; Bacillariophyta; Bacillariophyceae; Bacillariales; Bacillariaceae
Source: RNAcentral
GAAGAAGAGGACAUGAUUUGUUUGAUUUGUUUUUUAAUUUGUUUUUUAUUUGUUUUUUCUCGAGUCUUUUACUUGA